UUGCUCCUUUGAGACCGGCGCACGGGUGCGUAACGCGUAUGCAAUCUACCUUUUACAGAGGGAUAGCCCAGAGAAAUUUGGAUUAAUACCUCAUAGUAUAUAUCAUUCGCAUGUUUGGUAUAUUAAAGUUCCAACGGUAAAAGAUGAGCAUGCGUCCCAUUAGUUAGUUGGUAAGGUAACGGCUUACCAAGACGAUGAUGGGUAGGGGUCCUGAGAGGGAGAUCCCCCACACUGGUACUGAGACACGGACCAGACUCCUACGGGAGGCAGCAGUGAGGAAUAUUGGUCAAUGGACGCAAGUCUGAACCAGCCAUGCCGCGUGCAGGAAGACGGUCCUAUGGAUUGUAAACUGCUUUUGUACGGGAAGAAACACUCCUACGUGUAGGAGCCUGACGGUACCGUAAGAAUAAGGAUCGGCUAACUCCGUGCCAGCAGCCGCGGUAAUACGGAGGAUCCAAGCGUUAUCCGGAAUCAUUGGGUUUAAAGGGUCCGUAGGCGGUUUAAUAAGUCAGUGGUGAAAUCUGGUCGCUCAACGAUCAAACUGCCAUUGAUACUGUUAGACUUGAAUUACUGUGAAGUAACUAGAAUAUGUAGUGUAGCGGUGAAAUGCUUAGAUAUUACAUGGAAUACCAAUUGCGAAGGCAGGUUACUAACAGUGGAUUGACGCUGAUGGACGAAAGCGUGGGGAGCGAACAGGAUUAGAUACCCUGGUAGUCCACGCCGUAAACGAUGGAUACUAGUUGUUUGGAGCAAUCUGAGUG
Molecule: ribosomal RNA, 761 nt
Filed under: Flavobacterium fontis
Lineage: Bacteria; Pseudomonadati; Bacteroidota; Flavobacteriia; Flavobacteriales; Flavobacteriaceae
Description: bacterial SSU rRNA
Rfam family: Bacterial small subunit ribosomal RNA
Source: RNAcentral